AGCAGCAAGAUGCCAAGAACCGGACGCCGGCCCGCAAGUUUCGUGGGAGUGCGGACAAGUGAAGAUUCUGGCGGUUCUGUUCUGCGCAUUCGUCGGGAUCAUUCUCCCGCGCGAGCUAGGUGCGCAGAUCGAGCCGCCCGUCAUGAAUGCGACUGCCGAGCCGCGCAGCGUCGAGGUUGGCGAACUGUUGAGCGUGUCGCUCAGCGUGACGGUGGACUCGAGCGCCCCCUCACCCAGCGAUCCGCGCCUCGCGCUUCCCGAUUCGCUGCGAUCGGGUCCGCCGAACAUCUCGACGCAGACGCAGAUCAGCUUCGUCAACGGGCACCUGACUCGC
Molecule: unclassified non-coding RNA, 334 nt
Filed under: uncultured bacterium
Lineage: Bacteria
Description: contains 16S-23S intergenic spacer region
Source: RNAcentral